AGAGUUUUGUCCUGGCUCAGGACGAACGCUGGCGGCGUGCUUAACACAUGCAAGUCGAACGGUGACGACGGAGCUUGCUCUGUCUGAUCAGUGGCGAACGGGUGAGUAACACGUGAGUAACCUGCCCCCGACUCUGGAAUAACCGUGGGAAACGACGGCUAAUACCGGAUAUGAGACGCACGGGCAUCUGUGUGUCUGGAAAGAUUUAUCGGUCAGGGAUGGACUCGCGGCCUAUCAGCUUGUUGGUGGGGUAAUGGCCCACCAAGGCGACGACGGGUAGCCGGCCUGAGAGGGCGACCGGCCACACUGGGACUGAGAUACGGCCCAGACUCCUACGGGAGGCAGCAGUGGGGAAUAUUGCACAAUGGGCGCAAGCCUGAUGCAGCGACGCCGCGUGAGGGAUGAAGGCCUUCGGGUUGUAAACCUCUUUCAGCAGGGAAGAAGCGAAAGUGACGGUACCUGCAGAAGAAGCGCCGGCUAACUACGUGCCAGCAGCCGCGGUAAUACGUAGGGCGCAAGCGUUGUCCGGAAUUAUUGGGCGUAAAGAGCUCGUAGGCGGUUUGUCGCGUCUGCUGUGAAAACCUGAGGCUCAACCUCGGGCUUGCAGUGGGUACGGGCAGACUAGAGUGCGGUAGGGGUGACUGGAAUUCCUGGUGUAGCGGUGGAAUGCGCAGAUAUCAGGAGGAACACCGAUGGCGAAGGCAGGUCACUGGGCCGCAACUGACGCUGAGGAGCGAAAGCAUGGGGAGCGAACAGGAUUAGAUACCCUGGUAGUCCAUGCCGUAAACGUUGGGCACUAGGUGUGGGGCUCAUUCCACGAGUUCCGUGCCGCAGCAAACGCAUUAAGUGCCCCGCCUGGGGAGUACGGCCGCAAGGCUAAAACUCAAAGAAAUUGACGGGGGCCCGCACAAGCGGCGGAGCAUGCGGAUUAAUUCGAUGCAACGCGAAGAACCUUACCCAAGGCUUGACAUACACCGGAAAAGUGCAGAGAUGUGCUCCCCGCAAGGUCGGUGUACAGGUGGUGCAUGGUUGUCGUCAGCUCGUGUCGUGAGAUGUUGGGUUAAGUCCCGCAACGAGCGCAACCCUCGUCCUAUGUUGCCAGCGGGUUAUGCCGGGGACUCAUAGGAGACUGCCGGGGUCAACUCGGAGGAAGGUGGGGAUGACGUCAAAUCAUCAUGCCCCUUAUGUCUUGGGCUUCACGCAUGCUACAAUGGCCGGUACAAAGGGCUGCGAUACCGCGAGGUGGAGCGAAUCCCAAAAAGCCGGUCUCAGUUCGGAUUGGGGUCUGCAACUCGACCCCAUGAAGUCGGAGUCGCUAGUAAUCGCAGAUCAGCAACGCUGCGGUGAAUA
Molecule: ribosomal RNA, 1350 nt
Filed under: Cellulomonas sp. KAR4
Lineage: Bacteria; Bacillati; Actinomycetota; Actinomycetes; Micrococcales; Cellulomonadaceae
Description: bacterial SSU rRNA
Rfam family: Bacterial small subunit ribosomal RNA
Source: RNAcentral